RNAcentral lists this ribosomal RNA (253 nucleotides) under uncultured bacterium. Its description in RNAcentral is "partial 16S ribosomal RNA". It matches the Rfam family "Bacterial small subunit ribosomal RNA", at positions 524 to 776 of the family's 1533-position model. The record is from RNAcentral.
UACGGGGGGGGCAAGCGUUGUUCGGAAUUACUGGGCGUAAAGGGCGCGUAGGCGGGUGGACAAGUCUCUCGUGAAAGCCCACGGCUCAACCGUGGAAUUGCGGGAGAUACUGUCUGUCUUGUGUCCGGGAGAGGAGGGUGGAAUUCCCAGUGUAGCGGUGAAAUGGGUAGAUAUUGGGAGGAACACCGGUGGGGAAGGCGGCUCACUGGGUCUUUUCUUGCGCUGAGGCACGAGAGCUAGGGGAGCAAACGGG